Molecule: ribosomal RNA, 466 nt
Filed under: uncultured bacterium
Lineage: Bacteria
Description: partial 16S ribosomal RNA
Rfam family: Bacterial small subunit ribosomal RNA
Source: RNAcentral
GACGAACGCUGGCGGUGUGCUUAACACAUGCAAGUCGAACGGUAAGGCCCUUUCGGGGGUACACGAGUGGCGAACGGGUGAGUAACACGUGAGUAACCUGCCCUCAUCUCUGGGAUAACAGUCGGAAACGGUUGCUAAUACUGGAUAUGAGCUUGCAAGGCAUCUUGUGGGUUGGAAAGAUUUUUUUGGUUGGGGAUGGACUCGCGGCCUAUCAGCUUGUUGGUGAGGUAGUGGCUCACCAAGGCUUCGACGGGUAGCCGGCCUGAGAGGGCGACCGGCCACAUUGGGACUGAGAUACGGCCCAAACUCCUACGGGAGGCAGCGGUGGGGAAUAUUGCACAGUGGACGGAAGUCUGAUGCAGCAACGCCGCGUGCGGGAUGACGGCCUUCGGGUUGUAAACCGCUUUCAAUUGUGACGAAGCUUUUUGUGACGGUAGCAGUAGAAGAAGCACCGGCUAACUACGUG